Molecule: ribosomal RNA, 490 nt
Filed under: uncultured bacterium
Lineage: Bacteria
Description: partial 16S ribosomal RNA
Rfam family: Bacterial small subunit ribosomal RNA
Source: RNAcentral
AGUGAACGCUGGCGGUAGGCCUAACACAUGCAAGUCGAACGGCAGCACAGGAGAGCUUGCUCUCUGGGUGGCGAGUGGCGGACGGGUGAGGAAUACAUCGGAAUCUACCUUUUCGUGGGGGAUAACGUAGGGAAACUUACGCUAAUACCGCAUACGACCUUCGGGUGAAAGCAGGGGACCUUCGGGCCUUGCGCGGAUAGAUGAGCCGAUGUCGGAUUAGCUAGUUGGCGAGGUAAAGGCCCACCAAGGCGACGAUCCGUAGCUGGUCUGAGAGGAUGAUCAGCCACACUGGAACUGAGACACGGUCCAGACUCCUACGGGAGGCAGCAGUGGGGAAUAUUGGACAAUGGGCGAAAGCCUGAUCCAGCCAUACCGCGUGGGUGAAGAAGGCCUUCGGGUUGUAAAGCCCUUUUGUUGGGAAAGAAAAGCAGUCGGUUAAUACCCGGUUGUUCUGACGGUACCCAAAGAAUAAGCACCGGCUAACUUCGUG